AUGGGGCGGGGGAGGGGGUAAUCAAGGGCAGAAGACACAGCAUGUGAGGGACUCAGGGAUGAGAAUGAUCCCAGCAGCGACGGCUGUGGGAGGAAAUGAGAGAGGAAGAGGGGCAUCCAUGCAGCUGGAACAUAGACUUUGCGGAGGAGAGAUGCUCAAGGGGGAAGAAAUCAGCAAAGCGUCCUCCUAUGCAAAUCUGAUGUCGAACGCAUUUGAAUCCAGGUGAAUCUGAUGGAGAACCCUCGGUUCAUCCGCUAAUUGAAAGAUUUCAAAGAAAGGCUCCUAAAAUUUCCCCACGCCUAUAAAAAUACUUUCAGAUGAAUCCAGUAUGACCAGCUGAAAGUGCCAGAUUCCGAGGGCAGGGACUCCUGUAUCUCCAGCGUCAUCAGCAGAGUUCCAUGAUUCAGGUAGUGGAGCUAAAGAAGGACCAUGAAGACCAG
This 440-nucleotide long non-coding RNA is filed under the name Equus asinus (donkey). RNAcentral describes it as "lncRNA (ENSEASG00005030423.1)". The record is from RNAcentral. Lineage: Eukaryota; Metazoa; Chordata; Mammalia; Perissodactyla; Equidae.